RNAcentral lists this ribosomal RNA (389 nucleotides) under uncultured bacterium. RNAcentral's name for it is "bacterial SSU rRNA". It matches the Rfam family "Bacterial small subunit ribosomal RNA", at positions 29 to 420 of the family's 1533-position model. The record is from RNAcentral.
AUUGAACGCUGGCGGCAUGCUUUACACAUGCAAGUCGAACGGUAACAGGCCUUCGGGUGCUGACGAGUGGCGAACGGGUGAGUAAUGCAUCGGAACGUGCCCAAUCGUGGGGGGAUAACGUAGCGAAAGUUACGCUAAUACCGCAUAAGCCCUGAGGGGGAAAGUGGGGGACCGCAAGGCCUCACGCGAAUGGAGCGGCCGAUGUCAGAUUAGCUAGUUGGUGGGGUAAAGGCCCACCAAGGCGACGAUCUGUAGCGGGUCUGAGAGGAUGAUCCGCCACACUGGGACUGAGACACGGCCCAGACUCCUACGGGAGGCAGCAGUGGGGAAUUUUGGACAAUGGGCGCAAGCCUGAUCCAGCCAUGCCGCGUGCGGGACGAAGGCCUCGG